Molecule: long non-coding RNA, 2293 nt
Organism: Apodemus sylvaticus (European woodmouse)
Lineage: Eukaryota; Metazoa; Chordata; Mammalia; Rodentia; Muridae
Exons: 2
Source: RefSeq, a predicted model, not a curated record
GUGGCCCAGAUUUCCUGGAUUUUUUCUUUCUGUAUUUUUUUAUUAUUAUUUUUAGAUUUAACGUGUUCUUUGACUGAGCUAUCCAUUUCUUCAGCAGUUUCCUCAAGCCCUGCACUUCUCUCUCCCAUGCCCUUAGCUGCUGCCCAGGCUUCCCGCCGAGCUCUCUGCCUGGCAUCCUGAGCCUUUUACUUCCCAUUUGUUGGACUUUGGGGUCUCUUGGUGAUUCAGCUUCUGUGUUGACUCUGCGGUCGUGCUGUAGGUUGCCUUCAUCGUUCCAGUUGGUGCCUUCAGUCUUCACGAGGACUUGGCCGGUUCCCCUUUAAGGCUCUUGAACGUAUUCCUAAUGGCUGUGUUGGGGUUCUUGUCCUGUGCUUCAGCUGAGUUGCUGUUUUCAGGCUCUGUUGCAGUACGGUUGUUGGCUUUUGGAGGACAAAUAUUAUCUUGGCCCUUCAUAUUUGUGCUUUGUGCUAGGAUCCAGGUAAACGGAGUUAAGAUGCUUGAAGUGUUUCUGGGUGUGGCUGUCUGGUCUUCUCUUUGUUGGGUGUGUGCUUUCUUCUUUGGUCUCCAUUGCCCACUCAGGAUCUUAGCCAAGUGCGGUGACUAAGGGGUCCCUGUUGGGAGAGUUCUGUGAGUCAGAGGGUGUCACAAAAGGAUGGAGCUGGGCUAGAGGAGAAGGAGAGCAGGAAAGAGCUGAGGGCCCAGGGUCUGCACCAGGAGGUGAAUCCCAGGAGAUGGGGGUGAGCUGAGGGCCCAGGGUCUGCACCAGGAGGUGAAUCCCAGGAGAUGGAGGUGAGGGCCCAGGGUCUGCACCAGGAGGUGAAUCCCAGGAGAUGGGGGUGAGGUGAGGGCCCAGGGUCUGCACCAGGAGGUGAAUCCCAGGAGAUGGGGGUGAGGGCCCAGGGUCUGCACCAGGAGGUGAAUCCCAGGAGAUGGGGGUGAGGUGAGGGCCCAGGGUCUGCACCAGGAGGUGAAUCCCAGGAGAUGGGGGUAAGCUGAGGGCCCAGGGUCUGCACCAGGAGGUGAAUCCCAGGAGAUGGGGGUGAGGUGAGGGCCCAGGGUCUGCACCAGGAGGUGAAUCCCAGGAGAUGGGGGUGAGGUGAGGGCCCAGGGUCUGCACCAGGAGGUGAAUCCCAGGAGAUGGGGGUAAGCUGAGGGCCCAGGGUCUGCACCAGGAGGUGAAUCCCAGGAGAUGGGGGUGAGGUGAGGGCCCAGGGUCUGCACCAGGAGGUGAAUCCCAGGAGAUGGGGGUGAGCUGAGGGCCCAGGGUCUGCACCAGGAGGUGAAUCCCAGGAGAUGGGGGUGAGCUGAGGGCCCAGGGUCUGCACCAGGAGGUGAAUCCCAGGAGAUGGAGGUGAGGGCCCAGGGUCUGCACCAGGAGGUGAAUCCCAGGAGAUGGGGGUGAGCUGAGGGCCCAGGGUCUGCACCAGGAGGUGAAUCCCAGGAGAUGGGGGUGAGGUGAGGGCCCAGGGUCUGCACCAGGAGGUGAAUCCCAGGAGAUGGGGGUGAGGUGAGGGCCCAGGGUCUGCACCAGGAGGUGAAUCCCAGGAGAUGGGGGUGAGGGCCCAGGGUCUGCACCAGGAGGUGAAUCCCAGGAGAUGGAGGUGAGGUAAGGGCCCAGGGUCUGCACCAGGAGGUGAAUCCCAGGAGAUGGGGGUGAGCUGAGGGCCCAGGGUCUGCACCAGGAGGUGAAUCCCAGGAGAUGGGGGUAAGCUGAGGGCCCAGGGUCUGCACCAGGAGGUGAAUCCCAGGAGAUGGGGGUGAGGUGAGGGCCCAGGGUCUGCACCAGGAGGUGAAUCCCAGGAGAUGGGGGUGAGGUGAGGGCCCAGGGUCUGCACCAGGAGGUGAAUCCCAGGAGAUGGGGGUGAGGGCCCAGGGUCUGCACCAGGAGGUGAAUCCCAGGAGAUGGGGGUGAGGUGAGGGCCCAGGGUCUGCACCAGGAGGUGAAUCCCAGGAGAUGGAGGUGAGCUGAGGGCCCAGGGUCUGCACCAGGAGGUGAAUCCCAGGAGAUGGGGGUGAGGUGAGGGCCCAGGGUCUGCACCAGGAGGUGAAUCCCAGGAGAUGGAGGUGAGGUAAGGGCCCAGGGUCUGCACCAGGAGGUGAAUCCCAGGAGAUGGGGGUGAGCUGAGGGCCCAGGGUCUGCACCAGGAGGUGAAUCCCAGGAGAUGGGGGUGAGCUGAGGGCCCAGGGUCUGCACCAGGAGGUGAAUCCCAGGAGAUGGGGGUGAGCUGAGGGCCCAGGGUCUGCACCAGGAGGUGAAUCCCAGGAGAUGGGGGUGAGGUGAGGGCCCAGGGUC